RNA transcript from Rosa chinensis, 1330 nucleotides. RefSeq lists it as uncharacterized. The transcript is spliced from 4 exons. Lineage: Eukaryota; Viridiplantae; Streptophyta; Magnoliopsida; Rosales; Rosaceae. The record is from RefSeq and is a predicted model, not a curated record.
GACAAUUAAAUGGGCCGACUUCGCUGACCAUUGAUGGUUUUGCUUUUGCAGGUGACGAGAUGAAAAACCCACACAUUGUGCUGCUCUCGGUUUCGCUGCCGGAAACUGUGUUCUUGAGUGGGCUUCCUGCUGGGGCUAUAGAGGCUAUAAAGGCUGCGUAUGGAUCAGUAGUGCAGAUUCUUGACCCACCCAGAUGGGUUUAAUCUUACAUUGAAGCUCAAUCUCUAUAAACUUCCUACAGAUGAAGGUUCAACGAGUUCCUUUUCUAAGAGUACAAACAUGCUCUUUUGGUAAAGAUUGCAUCCGUAAGGGAAGUGGUGCUAGGAGCUCCAUUGAGAGUAAUUCUGAAGCAGCCUGCUUUGAGGACUUUUGCUUCCGAUGUUGAUCCACUUGUUGCUCUUGUGCAUCGGCCAAAGGAAUCCUUUUUCCUUAUUCCUCAGGAGGAACUAAAAUCUGUUGAACGCCUCCAACCUGCUUCCCGAUGCUGCAAAGAGUAUGUUAGUUUUUCAAUUAACUUUUGAAGGCACCUAAUUUUAUAGUAAAAGGAACUACAACUGAAUAUCUUUCAAAUUUGUUUGUUCUAGCCAUGUAAGAAAAGUGAGGUGAUUCUCUUUAUAUAAUGUUAGUCAUCUUCGAGUAGAUUGAAUAUGAAUAUUUUGCAGGAUUGCUGAUUUUGUGACUGCGAAUCCAGGUCCAUUAAUACCAACAUAAGAAUAUCACCAAAUUUUUGUAAUGUUUAGUUUGCUUUAUGUGUAUUGUGAUUAUUAUUUUGUAUUUAUCUGUCAAGCAGAAAUCGAGAGAAACGACGAUCCUGUCGCUUUUGGAAAUGGCUCUGAAAUGCCACGCUGCUCCUGCUGCGGUUCAUGCAACAGUUCAGGCUGUGGUUCAUGCAGCGGUAAAUGCUGUGGUUACAAGGGUUCAUGAUGUGGUCCAUGGAACCGUAAUUCGUGUUUCAGUUGCCCUUCACUACCAAAGUGGCGAUGUUGCUGCUCAUGUCCCCAAUCCCGUUACUGCAAAACUAGUUCAUGUUCAUGCAGCAGAAAUUGCUGCAUUUUACCAUCAUGUUCGUGUUCAUGUCCCGAUUGCUCUUGUUUGAAUUGUUUCAACUGGAAAUGCUCUUGUCCUAAAUGUCCUUGUUCAAUGUCCUUGUUGCUGUUGUAAAAUAACCUGCUGUAACCCUUGCAUUACAUGUUUGUAGUAUUCAUGACAUCUCUUAUGGAAGCUCUGUAUCAUGGCUUUUUCAUAUUUAACUAUUCUAGAUAUGCUGCAAAUAUUCAUGUAUUCAUAAAAUUGAGUUUAAGAAAUAAAUUUUAUAGUAUUAGCCUCUUCA